UUAGCUUAAACAGGCAGAUCAAUAUUGAACACUGCAGGAACUUCCAUGACUCCUUGUGAGACAUCAGUUUUGUCAUAUUUUCCAGCAUUCAUUGCUUCAUCCAGGGAUGUGUACACCUUCAUGACUACUUACUGAUAUAGUUUAGGACAUCAUGUUCAUUGACCAAGAAUAAUUUAUACUUCUCAACAUAGAGGAACCAUUACCAUACUUCAAGACCGACCAAGACCUAACUCCAGAAAAAUGGAUACCAAAGAGCACUCUGCAUCAGAUGCAAUGUUACAGACAACGGUGGAUGG
Molecule: long non-coding RNA, 296 nt
Organism: Spea bombifrons (plains spadefoot toad)
Lineage: Eukaryota; Metazoa; Chordata; Amphibia; Anura; Pelobatidae
Exons: 3
Source: RefSeq, a predicted model, not a curated record